This 68-nucleotide transfer RNA is filed under the name Athalia sikkimensis. Its description in RNAcentral is "tRNA-Asn". Lineage: Eukaryota; Metazoa; Arthropoda; Insecta; Hymenoptera; Athaliidae. The record is from RNAcentral.
UUAAUUAAAACCAAAGAGAGGUAUAUUAUUGUUAAUAAUAAAAUUGAAUAUAAAUUAUUCUAAUUAAA